UACGAAGGGGGCUAGCGUUGCUCGGAUUGACUAGGCGUAAAGGGCGCGUAGGCGGAUAGUACAGUCAGGCGUGAAAUUCCUGGGCUCAACCUGGGGGCUGCGUUUGAUACGUAUUGUCUGGAGUUCGGAAGAGGGUCGUGGAAUUCCCAGUGUAGAGGUGAAAUUCGUAGAUAUUGGGAAGAACACCGGUGGCGAAGGCGGCGACCUGGUCCGAUACUGACGCUGAGGCGCGAAAGCGUGGGGAGCAAACAGG
This 253-nucleotide ribosomal RNA is filed under the name uncultured bacterium. RNAcentral describes it as "partial 16S ribosomal RNA". It matches the Rfam family "Bacterial small subunit ribosomal RNA", at positions 524 to 776 of the family's 1533-position model. The record is from RNAcentral.